UGUAAGCGUAUACCAAAGUUGUUGCAGUUAAAACGCUCGUAGUCGGACUUUGGCGGUUCCGGAAGUGUGCCGCGUCGUGCGGCCGCUUUGCAGGGACUGCUUUUGUGGGUUUCGCGUCAGAUGAGGGCUGUUAAUUCGGUAACGUCUGUACGCAACCACUUUUUACUGUGAGAAAAUCAGAGUGCUCAAAGCAGGCAUUUGCCGUGAAUGUAUUAGCAUGGAAUAAUAGAAUAGGACUUGGUUCUAUUUUGUUGGUUUGUUGGGACUGAGUAAUGAUUAAGAGGGACAGUUGGGGGCAUUUGUAUUUCGGUGCUAGAGGUGAAAUUCUUAGAUUACCGAAAGACAAACUGCUGCGAAAGCGUCUGCCAAGGAUGUUUUCAUUGA
Molecule: ribosomal RNA, 384 nt
Filed under: uncultured eukaryote
Lineage: Eukaryota
Description: partial 18S ribosomal RNA
Rfam family: Eukaryotic small subunit ribosomal RNA
Source: RNAcentral